UCGACGGUGAGCAGAGCUUGCUCUGUGGAUCAGUGGCGAACGGGUGAGUAACACGUGAGCAACCUGCCCCUGACUCUGGGAUAAGCGCUGGAAACGGCGUCUAAUACUGGAUACGAGACGUGAUCGCAUGGUCAACGUCUGGAAAGAAUUUCGGUUGGGGAUGGGCUCGCGGCCUAUCAGCUUGUUGGUGAGGUAAUGGCUCACCAAGGCGUCGACGGGUAGCCGGCCUGAGAGGGUGACCGGCCACACUGGGACUGAGACACGGCCCAGACUCCUACGGGAGGCAGCAGUGGGGAAUAUUGCACAAUGGGCGAAAGCCUGAUGCAGCAACGCCGCGUGAGGGAUGACGGCCUUCGGGUUGUAAACCUCUUUUAGCAGGGAAGAAGCGAAAGUGACGGUACCUGCAGAAAAAGCGCCGGCUAACUACGUGCCAGCAGCCGCGGUAAUACGUAGGGCGCAAGCGUUAUCCGGAAUUAUUGGGCGUAAAGAGCUCGUAGGCGGUUUGUCGCGUCUGCUGUGAAAUCCCGAGGCUCAACCUCGGGCCUGCAGUGGGUACGGGCAGACUAGAGUGCGGUAGGGGAGAUUGGAAUUCCUGGUGUAGCGGUGGAAUGCGCAGAUAUCAGGAGGAACACCGAUGGCGAAGGCAGAUCUCUGGGCCGUAACUGACGCUGAGGAG
This 676-nucleotide ribosomal RNA is filed under the name bacterium. Its description in RNAcentral is "bacterial SSU rRNA". It matches the Rfam family "Bacterial small subunit ribosomal RNA", at positions 62 to 753 of the family's 1533-position model. The record is from RNAcentral.